This 254-nucleotide ribosomal RNA is filed under the name uncultured bacterium. Its description in RNAcentral is "partial 16S ribosomal RNA". It matches the Rfam family "Bacterial small subunit ribosomal RNA", at positions 524 to 776 of the family's 1533-position model. The record is from RNAcentral.
UACGUAGGGUGCGAGCGUUGUCCGGAUUUAUUGGGCGUAAAGAGCUCGUAGGUGGUUCGGUAAGUCGGAUGUGAAAUCUCCAGGCUCAACCUGGAGGGGUCAUUCGAUACUGCCGUGACUAGAGUUCGGUAGGGGAGUGUGGAAUUCCUGGUGGAGCGGUGAAAUGCGCAGAUAUCAGGAGGAACACCCGUAGCGAAGGCGGCACUCUGGGCCGAUACUGACACUGAGGAGCGAAAGCGUGGGGAGCGAACAGG